Molecule: ribosomal RNA, 412 nt
Filed under: uncultured bacterium
Lineage: Bacteria
Description: bacterial SSU rRNA
Rfam family: Bacterial small subunit ribosomal RNA
Source: RNAcentral
UAAGGAAUAUUGGACAAUGGAGGCAACUCUGAUCCAGCCAUGCCGCGUGAAGGAUUAAGGCCCUAUGGGUUGUAAACUUCUUUUAGACGGGACAAAACCCCUUUACGUGUAAAGGGUUGAUGGUACUGUCAGAAUAAGCAUCGGCUAACUUCGUGCCAGCAGUCGCGGUAAUACGAAGGAUGCAAGCGUUAUCCGGAAUUAUUGGGUUUAAAGGGUGCGUAGGCGGACUAAUAAGUCAGUGGUGAAAGCCUGCAGCUUAACUGCAGAAUUGCCAUGGAUACUGUUAGUCUUGAGUACAGUUGAGGUAGGCGGAAUGUGUCAUGUAGCGGUGAAAUGCUUAGAUAUGACACAAAACACCGAUUGCGAAGGCAGCUUGCUAAGCUGUAACUGACGCUGAGGCACGAAAGCGUGG